Molecule: transfer RNA, 66 nt
Filed under: Euchorthippus unicolor
Lineage: Eukaryota; Metazoa; Arthropoda; Insecta; Orthoptera; Acrididae
Also listed under: 1 other name
Description: tRNA-Tyr
Source: RNAcentral
GGUGAGAUGACUGAAUUUGUAGGUGGUAGACUGUAAAUCUACUUAUGGAAAUGUUUCCUCUCACCA